This 905-nucleotide long non-coding RNA is filed under the name Pan troglodytes (chimpanzee). RNAcentral's name for it is "long non-coding RNA NONPTRT003080". The record is from RNAcentral. Lineage: Eukaryota; Metazoa; Chordata; Mammalia; Primates; Hominidae.
ACAGAGGCGAUGAUGGAACAACACUGUGAAGAGGUGGGUGUGCAUGUGUGCGUGUGUGCACACAUGCAUGUGUCAGACAGGCAUCCAUCCUAUCCAGGAGAUAGGAAACCAAGAAUGCAAAGACAACUCAGCAGAUCUGCUGGCAUGGAGGCGAGGCUGCAUGGAAGGAUCUGGAUUGGAUAGGAGUGUCCCAUUCAGGACAUGUGUCACUCAAAACCACACAACUCAGACUUGGGGAAUAUUCUAUGCCAGUCACAUCUGUUUACAACACGUGUGGCAUCUCCUGUGGACGGAGUUGACAGUCUCAUCCUGAGAUAGGCAGAGCCUGGAGUGGAAGUGAGAGCCUUCAUCUGGGAUGAGACAGCAGGAGGCAGGGAGGGGACACACUGGGGGACAUCACGUGGGGCCAGGCAGUGUCCACCCAGCUCUGGCACAGCCUGAGAGUCAUCACUUCCUCAGUUUUCACACCCUGGGCACCUCCACCUCGCCUGCCUCCCCCGACCCUGACCCCGGCCCCAUGGCCAGACCUUUCUUCCACAUAAUUCCCAGGAGUGCUAUAUGCAUGAACCAAGCUAAGGUGUCAAUCUCGUUUCAGAACCACAGCACGGCUCCCCAUAAAAGUCAUCUUUAUGGACAGAUAUUUCAUGGCGGCAGCUUGAGAAGGCUCACGUUUCUUAGGCAGCUGGUGCAGAGCCAGGAGAGCUAAUCAUGAGAUCUUCCAGUCCCAGGACGCGGGCUGCGGCUGGCGGCUGUGGCCGUCUUAUAUCAAACUCUCAAGAGUCACAGGGCAGCAGCAUUGGCCCCCUCCCAAGUCAUUCCAGAUGGGAUUUAAGGUGGCUUAAUGAGCAUUCAUAAAAUACAGCAAGAGAACAUAAAUUGAAAAGGGUGUGCAAGAAGAAAUCAAA